This 228-nucleotide unclassified non-coding RNA is filed under the name Hevea brasiliensis (rubber tree). The record is from RNAcentral. Lineage: Eukaryota; Viridiplantae; Streptophyta; Magnoliopsida; Malpighiales; Euphorbiaceae.
GGUGGUUAGUUCAGUGGUGAGGUAACUCAAUACUCAAUAAUAAGUUAAGUGAGUAACCUCUUUCUUUACUUAUAAGGUCUUCCUGGAUCUUUUCCUUGCCUUAGCUUUCUUGGGCUAGGAACCAGAUAGAAAGUGGUAGCCUAGCAGUGAGAGUAUGCUUGAAAGCUUUCCUUGCUGACUGUAUUGCCUUUAUAGUCAAAGUAGAUUGAUUCGGCAUAACCAUAAGCG